UGCCCCGUGGUGUAACGGUAGCACAACAGGUUCUGGUCCUGUUUGUCAAGGUUCAAAUCCUUGCGGGGUAACCA
This 74-nucleotide transfer RNA is filed under the name Pseudomonadota bacterium. RNAcentral describes it as "tRNA-Gln". It matches the Rfam family "tRNA". Rfam says of the family: Transfer RNA (tRNA) molecules are approximately 80 nucleotides in length. Their secondary structure includes four short double-helical elements and three loops (D, anti-codon, and T loops). RNAcentral also lists the same sequence under 3 other names. The record is from RNAcentral. Lineage: Bacteria; Pseudomonadati; Pseudomonadota.